RNAcentral lists this ribosomal RNA (2547 nucleotides) under Escherichia coli. RNAcentral describes it as "bacterial LSU rRNA". It matches the Rfam family "Bacterial large subunit ribosomal RNA", at positions 398 to 2925 of the family's 2925-position model. The record is from RNAcentral. Lineage: Bacteria; Pseudomonadati; Pseudomonadota; Gammaproteobacteria; Enterobacterales; Enterobacteriaceae.
UGUGAGCUCGAUGAGUAGGGCGGGACACGUGGUAUCCUGUCUGAAUAUGGGGGGACCAUCCUCCAAGGCUAAAUACUCCUGACUGACCGAUAGUGAACCAGUACCGUGAGGGAAAGGCGAAAAGAACCCCGGCGAGGGGAGUGAAAAAGAACCUGAAACCGUGUACGUACAAGCAGUGGGAGCACGCUUAGGCGUGUGACUGCGUACCUUUUGUAUAAUGGGUCAGCGACUUAUAUUCUGUAGCAAGGUUAACCGAAUAGGGGAGCCGAAGGGAAACCGAGUCUUAACUGGGCGUUAAGUUGCAGGGUAUAGACCCGAAACCCGGUGAUCUAGCCAUGGGCAGGUUGAAGGUUGGGUAACACUAACUGGAGGACCGAACCGACUAAUGUUGAAAAAUUAGCGGAUGACUUGUGGCUGGGGGUGAAAGGCCAAUCAAACCGGGAGAUAGCUGGUUCUCCCCGAAAGCUAUUUAGGUAGCGCCUCGUGAAUUCAUCUCCGGGGGUAGAGCACUGUUUCGGCAAGGGGGUCAUCCCGACUUACCAACCCGAUGCAAACUGCGAAUACCGGAGAAUGUUAUCACGGGAGACACACGGCGGGUGCUAACGUCCGUCGUGAAGAGGGAAACAACCCAGACCGCCAGCUAAGGUCCCAAAGUCAUGGUUAAGUGGGAAACGAUGUGGGAAGGCCCAGACAGCCAGGAUGUUGGCUUAGAAGCAGCCAUCAUUUAAAGAAAGCGUAAUAGCUCACUGGUCGAGUCGGCCUGCGCGGAAGAUGUAACGGGGCUAAACCAUGCACCGAAGCUGCGGCAGCGACGCUGAUGCGUUGUUGGGUAGGGGAGCGUUCUGUAAGCCUGUGAAGGUGUGCUGUGAGGCAUGCUGGAGGUAUCAGAAGUGCGAAUGCUGACAUAAGUAACGAUAAAGCGGGUGAAAAGCCCGCUCGCCGGAAGACCAAGGGUUCCUGUCCAACGUUAAUCGGGGCAGGGUGAGUCGACCCCUAAGGCGAGGCCGAAAGGCGUAGUCGAUGGGAAACAGGUUAAUAUUCCUGUACUUGGUGUUACUGCGAAGGGGGGACGGAGAAGGCUAUGUUGGCCGGGCGACGGUUGUCCCGGUUUAAGCGUGUAGGCUGGUUUUCCAGGCAAAUCCGGAAAAUCAAGGCUGAGGCGUGAUGACGAGGCACUACGGUGCUGAAGCAACAAAUGCCCUGCUUCCAGGAAAAGCCUCUAAGCAUCAGGUAACAUCAAAUCGUACCCCAAACCGACACAGGUGGUCAGGUAGAGAAUACCAAGGCGCUUGAGAGAACUCGGGUGAAGGAACUAGGCAAAAUGGUGCCGUAACUUCGGGAGAAGGCACGCUGAUAUGUAGGUGAAGCGACUUGCUCGUGGAGCUGAAAUCAGUCGAAGAUACCAGCUGGCUGCAACUGUUUAUUAAAAACACAGCACUGUGCAAACACGAAAGUGGACGUAUACGGUGUGACGCCUGCCCGGUGCCGGAAGGUUAAUUGAUGGGGUCAGCGCAAGCGAAGCUCUUGAUCGAAGCCCCGGUAAACGGCGGCCGUAACUAUAACGGUCCUAAGGUAGCGAAAUUCCUUGUCGGGUAAGUUCCGACCUGCACGAAUGGCGUAAUGAUGGCCAGGCUGUCUCCACCCGAGACUCAGUGAAAUUGAACUCGCUGUGAAGAUGCAGUGUACCCGCGGCAAGACGGAAAGACCCCGUGAACCUUUACUAUAGCUUGACACUGAACAUUGAGCCUUGAUGUGUAGGAUAGGUGGGAGGCUUAGAAGUGUGGACGCCAGUCUGCAUGGAGCCGACCUUGAAAUACCACCCUUUAAUGUUUGAUGUUCUAACGUUGACCCGUAAUCCGGGUUGCGGACAGUGUCUGGUGGGUAGUUUGACUGGGGCGGUCUCCUCCUAAAGAGUAACGGAGGAGCACGAAGGUUGGCUAAUCCUGGUCGGACAUCAGGAGGUUAGUGCAAUGGCAUAAGCCAGCUUGACUGCGAGCGUGACGGCGCGAGCAGGUGCGAAAGCAGGUCAUAGUGAUCCGGUGGUUCUGAAUGGAAGGGCCAUCGCUCAACGGAUAAAAGGUACUCCGGGGAUAACAGGCUGAUACCGCCCAAGAGUUCAUAUCGACGGCGGUGUUUGGCACCUCGAUGUCGGCUCAUCACAUCCUGGGGCUGAAGUAGGUCCCAAGGGUAUGGCUGUUCGCCAUUUAAAGUGGUACGCGAGCUGGGUUUAGAACGUCGUGAGACAGUUCGGUCCCUAUCUGCCGUGGGCGCUGGAGAACUGAGGGGGGCUGCUCCUAGUACGAGAGGACCGGAGUGGACGCAUCACUGGUGUUCGGGUUGUCAUGCCAAUGGCACUGCCCGGUAGCUAAAUGCGGAAGAGAUAAGUGCUGAAAGCAUCUAAGCACGAAACUUGCCCCGAGAUGAGUUCUCCCUGACCCUUUAAGGGUCCUGAAGGAACGUUGAAGACGACGACGUUGAUAGGCCGGGUGUGUAAGCGCAGCGAUGCGUUGAGCUAACCGGUACUAAUGAACCGUGAGGCUUAACCUU